GGUUAAGCGACUAAGCGUACACGGUGGAUGCCCUGGCAGUCAGAGGCGAUGAAGGACGUGCUAAUCUGCGAAAAGCGUCGGUAAGGUGAUAUGAACCGUUAUAACCGGCGAUGUCCGAAUGGGGAAACCCAGUGCAAUUCGUUGCACUAUCGUUAACUGAAUACAUAGGUUAACGAGGCGAACCGGGGGAACUGAAACAUCUAAGUACCCCGAGGAAAAGAAAUCAACCGAGAUUCCCCCAGUAGCGGCGAGCGAACGGGGAGCAGCCCAGAGUCUGAAUCAGCUUGUGUGUUAGUGGAACGGUCUGGAAAGUCCGACGGUACAGGGUGAUAGUCCCGUACACCAAAAUGCACAGGCUGUGAACUCGAAGAGUAGGGCGGGACACGUGGUAUCCUGUCUGAAUAUGGGGGGACCAUCCUCCAAGGCUAAAUACUCCUGACUGACCGAUAGUGAACCAGUACCGUGAGGGAAAGGCGAAAAGAACCCCGGCGAGGGGAGUGAAAAAGAACCUGAAACCGUGUACGUACAAGCAGUGGGAGCACCUUCGGGUGUGACUGCGUACCUUUUGUAUAAUGGGUCAGCGACUUAUAUUCUGUAGCAAGGUUAACCGUAUAGGGGAGCCGCAGGGAAACCGAGUCUUAACUGGGCGUUAAGUUGCAGGGUAUAGACCCGAAACCCGGUGAUCUAGCCAUGGGCAGGUUGAAGGUUGGGUAACACUAACUGGAGGACCGAACCGACUAAUGUUGAAAAAUUAGCGGAUGACUUGUGGCUGGGGGUGAAAGGCCAAUCAAACCGGGAGAUAGCUGGUUCUCCCCGAAAGCUAUUUAGGUAGCGCCUCGUGAAUUCAUCUUCGGGGGUAGAGCACUGUUUCGGCUAGGGGGUCAUCCCGACUUACCAACCCGAUGCAAACUACGAAUACCGAAGAAUGUUAUCACGGGAGACACACGGCGGGUGCUAACGUCCGUCGUGAAGAGGGAAACAACCCAGACCGCCAGCUAAGGUCCCAAAGUCAUGGUUAAGUGGGAAACGAUGUGGGAAGGCACAGACAGCCAGGAUGUUGGCUUAGAAGCAGCCAUCAUUUAAAGAAAGCGUAAUAGCUCACUGGUCGAGUCGGCCUGCGCGGAAGAUGUAACGGGGCUAAACCAUGCACCGAAGCUGCGGCAGCGACACUAUGUGUUGUUGGGUAGGGGAGCGUUCUGUAAGCCUGCGAAGGUGUGCUGUGAGGCAUGCUGGAGGUAUCAGAAGUGCGAAUGCUGACAUAAGUAACGAUAAAGCGGGUGAAAAGCCCGCUCGCCGGAAGACCAAGGGUUCCUGUCCAACGUUAAUCGGGGCAGGGUGAGUCGACCCCUAAGGCGAGGCCGAAAGGCGUAGUCGAUGGGAAACAGGUUAAUAUUCCUGUACUUGGUGUUACUGCGAAGGGGGGACGGAGAAGGCUAUGUUAGCCGGGCGACGGUUGUCCCGGUUUAAGCAUGUAGGCUGAUUGUCCAGGCAAAUCCGGAUAAUCAAGGCUGAGGUGUGAUGACGAGGCACUACGGUGCUGAAGUAACAAAUGCCCUGCUUCCAGGAAAAGCCUCUAAGCAUCAGGUAACAUUAAAUCGUACCCCAAACCGACACAGGUGGUCAGGUAGAGAAUACCAAGGCGCUUGAGAGAACUCGGGUGAAGGAACUAGGCAAAAUGGUGCCGUAACUUCGGGAGAAGGCACGCUGGUGUGUAGGUGAAGUCCCUGCGGAUGGAGCUGAGACCAGUCGAAGAUACCAGCUGGCUGCAACUGUUUAUUAAAAACACAGCACUGUGCAAACACGAAAGUGGACGUAUACGGUGUGACGCCUGCCCGGUGCCGGAAGGUUAAUUGAUGGGGUUAUCCGUAAGGAGAAGCUCUUGAUCGAAGCCCCGGUAAACGGCGGCCGUAACUAUAACGGUCCUAAGGUAGCGAAAUUCCUUGUCGGGUAAGUUCCGACCUGCACGAAUGGCGUAAUGAUGGCCAGGCUGUCUCCACCCGAGACUCAGUGAAAUUGAACUCGCUGUGAAGAUGCAGUGUACCCGCGGCAAGACGGAAAGACCCCGUGAACCUUUACUAUAGCUUGACACUGAACAUUGAGCCUUGAUGUGUAGGAUAGGUGGGAGGCUUUGAAGCGUGGACGCCAGUCUGCGUGGAGCCAACCUUGAAAUACCACCCUUUAAUGUUUGAUGUUCUAACGUUGGCCCCUGACCGGGGUUGCGGACAGUGUCUGGUGGGUAGUUUGACUGGGGCGGUCUCCUCCCAAAGCGUAACGGAGGAGCACGAAGGUUAGCUAAUCCUGGUCGGACAUCAGGAGGUUAGUGCAAUGGCAUAAGCUAGCUUGACUGCGAGCGUGACGGCGCGAGCAGGUGCGAAAGCAGGUCAUAGUGAUCCGGUGGUUCUGAAUGGAAGGGCCAUCGCUCAACGGAUAAAAGGUACUCCGGGGAUAACAGGCUGAUACCGCCCAAGAGUUCAUAUCGACGGCGGUGUUUGGCACCUCGAUGUCGGCUCAUCACAUCCUGGGGCUGAAGUAGGUCCCAAGGGUAUGGCUGUUCGCCAUUUAAAGUGGUACGCGAGCUGGGUUUAGAACGUCGUGAGACAGUUCGGUCCCUAUCUGCCGUGGGCGCUGGAGAAUUGAGGGGGGCUGCUCCUAGUACGAGAGGACCGGAGUGGACGCAUCACUGGUGUUCGGGUUGUCAUGCCAAUGGCACUGCCCGGUAGCUAAAUGCGGAAGAGAUAAGUGCUGAAAGCAUCUAAGCACGAAACUUGCCCCGAGAUGAGUUCUCCCUGAGACUUUAAGUCUCCUGAAGGAACGUUGAAGACGAUGACGUUGAUAGGCCGGGUGUGUAAGCGCAGCGAUGCGUUGAGCUAACCGGUACUAAUGAACCGUGAGGCUUAACCUU
This 2902-nucleotide ribosomal RNA is filed under the name Klebsiella pneumoniae. RNAcentral describes it as "23S ribosomal RNA". It matches the Rfam family "Bacterial large subunit ribosomal RNA". The record is from RNAcentral. Lineage: Bacteria; Pseudomonadati; Pseudomonadota; Gammaproteobacteria; Enterobacterales; Enterobacteriaceae.